This 425-nucleotide ribosomal RNA is filed under the name uncultured bacterium. Its description in RNAcentral is "partial 16S ribosomal RNA". It matches the Rfam family "Bacterial small subunit ribosomal RNA", at positions 354 to 796 of the family's 1533-position model. The record is from RNAcentral.
GUGAGGAAUUUUCCGCAAUGGGCGAAAGCCUGACGGAGCAAUGCCGCGUGAAGGAUGAAGGCCUAUGGGUUGUAAACUUCUUUUCUCAGAAAAGAAUUAUGACGGUAUCUGGGAAUAAGCAUCGGCUAACUCUGUGCCAGCAGCCGCGGUAAGACAGAGGAUGCAAGCGUUAUCCGGAAUGAUUGGGCGUAAAGCGUCUGUAGGUUGUUUAAAAAGUAUUCUGUCAAAGAUUAGGGCUUAACCCUAGAUAGGCAGAAUAAACUUUUAAGCUAGAGGUGGGUAGAGGCAGAGGGAAUUCCCGGUGGAGCGGUGAAAUGCGUAGAUAACGGGAGGAACACCAAAGGCGAAGGCACUCUGCUGGGCCAAUACUAACACUGAGAGACGAAAGCGAGGGGAGCAAAUGGGAUUAGAUACCCGAGUAGUCC